GUAGGUGGCAAGCGUUGUCCGGAAUUAUUGGGCGUAAAGCGCGCGCAGGCGGUUCUUUAAGUCUGAUGUGAAAGCCCACGGGCUCAACCGUGGAGGGUCAUUGGAAACUGGAGAACUUGAGUACAGAAGAGGAAAGCGGAAUUCCACGUGUAGCGGUGAAAUGCGUAGAGAUGCGGAGGAACACCAGUGGCGAAGGCGGCUUUCUGGUCUGUAACUGACGCUGAGGCGCGAAAGCGUGGGGAGCAAACAGGAUUAGGUACCCUGGUAGUCCACGCCGUAAACGAUGAGUGCUAAGUGUUAGGGGGUUUCCGCCCCUUAGUGCUGCAGCUAACGCAUUAAGCACUCCGCCUGGGGAGUACGGCCGCAAAGGCUG
Molecule: ribosomal RNA, 373 nt
Filed under: uncultured organism
Description: partial 16S ribosomal RNA
Rfam family: Bacterial small subunit ribosomal RNA
Source: RNAcentral